UGGGGAAUUGUUCGCAAUGGGCGCAAGCCUGACGACGCAACGCCGCGUGGAGGAUGAAGAUCUUCGGGUUGUAAACUCCUUUCGAUCGAGACGAAUGGCCCUUGGGCUAACAUCCUGAGGGAGUGACGGUACCGAGAGAAGAAGCCCCGGCUAACUCCGUGCCAGCAGCCGCGGUAAUACGGGGGGGGCAAGCGGUGUUCGGAAUUACUGGGCGUAAAGGGCUCGUAGGCGGCCAACUAAGUCAUACGUGAAAUCCCUCGGCUUAACCGGGGAACUGCGUAUGAUACUGGAUGGCUUGAGUUCGGGAGAGGGAUGCGGAAUUCCAGGUGUAGCGGUGAAAUGCGUAGAUAUCUGGAGGAACACCGGUGGCGAAGGCGGCAUCCUGGACCGAUACUGACGCUGAGGAGCGAAAGCCAGGGGAGCAAACGGG
RNAcentral lists this ribosomal RNA (430 nucleotides) under uncultured bacterium. RNAcentral describes it as "bacterial SSU rRNA". It matches the Rfam family "Bacterial small subunit ribosomal RNA", at positions 355 to 776 of the family's 1533-position model. The record is from RNAcentral.